UGCGUAGGCGGGCUAAUAAGUCGGUGGUGAAAUCUCUCGGCUCAACCGGGAAACUGCCAUUGAUACUGUUAGUCUUGAGUUCGGUUGAGGUAGGCGGAAUGUGUAAUGUAGCGGUGAAAUGCUUAGAUAUUACACAGAACACCAAUUGCGUAGGCAGCUUACUAGACCGACACUGACGCUGAGGCACGAAAGCGUGGGGAGCGAACAGGAUUAGAUACCCUGGUAGUCC
This 229-nucleotide ribosomal RNA is filed under the name uncultured bacterium. RNAcentral describes it as "partial 16S ribosomal RNA". It matches the Rfam family "Bacterial small subunit ribosomal RNA", at positions 568 to 796 of the family's 1533-position model. The record is from RNAcentral.